Notolabrus celidotus (New Zealand spotty) is the source of this 73-nucleotide non-coding RNA. The record is from the annotation of a RefSeq genome assembly. NCBI's taxonomy places the organism in Eukaryota, Metazoa, Chordata, Actinopteri, Labriformes, Labridae.
UCCCUGGUGGUCUAGUGGUUAGGAUUUGGCGCUCUCACCGCCAGGGUCCAGGUUCCGAUUCCCGGUCAGGGAA